GGGCCCUUUGGGCUGCUAUACAUGCAGUCGAGCGGACAGAUGGGAGCUUGCUCCCUGAUGUUAGCGGCGGACGGGUGAGUAACACGUGGGUAACCUGCCUGUAAGACUGGGAUAACUCCGGGAAACCGGGGCUAAUACCGGAUGGUUGUUUGAACCGCAUGGUUCAAACAUAAAAGGUGGCUUCGGCUACCACUUACAGAUGGACCCGCGGCGCAUUAGCUAGUUGGUGAGGUAACGGCUCACCAAGGCGACGAUGCGUAGCCGACCUGAGAGGGUGAUCGGCCACACUGGGACUGAGACACGGCCCAGACUCCUACGGGAGGCAGCAGUAGGGAAUCUUCCGCAAUGGACGAAAGUCUGACGGAGCAACGCCGCGUGAGUGAUGAAGGUUUUCGGAUCGUAAAGCUCUGUUGUUAGGGAAGAACAAGUACCGUUCGAAUAGGGCGGUACCUUGACGGUACCUAACCAGAAAGCCACGGCUAACUACGUGCCACCAGCCGCGGUAAUACGUAGGUGGCAAGCGUUGUCCGGAAUUAUUGGGCGUAGAGGGCUCGCAGGCGGUUUCUUAAGUCUGAUGUGAAAACCCCCGGCUCAACCGGGGGACGGUCAUUGGAAACUGGGGAAAUUGCGUGGCAGAAAAGGAGAUGGCGACUUCCCCGUGCAACGCUGAAAUGCGACAA
Molecule: ribosomal RNA, 680 nt
Filed under: Bacillus subtilis
Lineage: Bacteria; Bacillati; Bacillota; Bacilli; Caryophanales; Bacillaceae
Description: bacterial SSU rRNA
Rfam family: Bacterial small subunit ribosomal RNA
Source: RNAcentral